GAGUUUACAAGGAUCAACAGAUGAUAUUUUUCUACUUCAUGUACAUGAGGUUCUCUUUCUAAGAACAAUAAAAGUCCAUGUCUAGCAGGGAAGCUUCUACAAUUGUUUGUCUUGUAUUUGAACAAAAGCAUCAGCAGUUUGAUAUGAAUCUGCUCCUGAGCGAUUUAGAAUAUUCCAACACGGUGGAUUAAGUUAACAUAAAUACAAGUCUCCUUGUGCUACAAAGGUGCGGAGAGGGAGAGAGGGAGAGAGGGAGAGGGGGUUAGAGGUAGAGAGUUUUAUAUCAGUUUGAAGUUUGAAGAGAUUGACAGAUGCUCUCAACUGAGUUGUCUUCAGGUUGCAGUGAUGCAGCUGGACUUGCUGGGAACCUCUUUGCUUGUGUUAUGUGUGUCGCCAAUACCAACAUUUAGGAAAAUUAUCAGAAACCAAUCAACUGAACAGUUCUCAGAAUUGCCUUGCAUAUACGCUCUAUUGAAUUGCUUGAUCUGCCUCUGGUAUGGCAUGCCUUUUGUAACGCCUGGAGUUAUAUUGGUUGCAACUGUAAAUUCAAUCGGGGCUGCUUUCCAGUUAAUCUACGCAAUCAUCUUCAUCAUUUAUGCUGAUAAAUCCAAGAAGCUGAGGAUGUCAGCAUUACUCAUUGCAGUAUUUGCGUUCUUUGGUAUGGUAGUAUUUGUGAGCCUGAGAUUCUUGGAAACUCAUUUGUGUCAGAUGGUUGUUGGAUAUUUAAGUGUCUUUUCCCUCAUUUCAAUGUUUGCUUCACCACUUUUAUAAUUAGUUUGGUGAUCAAAACCCAGAGUGUUGAAUACAUGCCAUUCUAUCUUUCCCUUUCAACGUUCUUGAUGAGUCUCUCUAUCUCUACUUACGGAGUGCUCAAGUUUGAUCCUUUCUUUUAUGGAAGCCUGUUUCUCCAGGUGCCAAAUGGAAUUGGAACAAUUUUGGGGAUACUUCAAUUAGCACUCUACGACUGUUAUAGCAGCAAAUAUGGUGAAGGUUCAAGAGAGCCCUUGCUAGCUUCAUAUGCAUGAAAACAUCAACUAGCAUUGCGCGCUCGAAAUAAAAUAGGACUGCCGAAAGAACUGUCCGAUUUGCAGGUUAUUCAUAAUGGCAACAAUCCAAGACAGGAUUUCCUCCUGCGUCGUCAUUAAAAGUAGACUAAAAUUACUUCAUGGUGUUUGACAAUCCUUGCUAAGAUUUGAGGGCGUCCUCGAAACAUGCAUGUCAGUGAUCUGCCGAGCAGAAAUAAGAGGAAGGAAGCAAAAUGGUUUCCGAAGGCUAUACCGGAAUCACUGCAUUAGUGAGCUGCAGCAUUGUACCAGUCCUUAAUCCAUAGCCUGCCGCGUUUUUUGAUGCCUCGACCAGGGUGUUGCCACGCUGCCAGUGUCAUUGCCUGUCUUUCUCAUCAUCUUCUCCACUUCAUUGGCUACAAGGGCUUUCAUCGCCAUGCUUAUCUUAGACUUAUGGUAUUAUUAUAAUACAAUGAACAAUGCCUUUUACUUCAGCUGGUUUAAUAGAAGAUUAAUAAGAAGAAAAACAGUGUUAUAUAUUGGUCGUCAGCUUAGGAGAAAUUACUAAUUACUUGUCAGAAAAACAAGUGUUUUAACUGAUCGAGUCCUAGUUAUUUGAUCACAAUGUCCAGAAGUGUCUAACCAAAGGAAGAAUCACAUUAGACCUAUUUUCUGUAAUAACAAUCGAGGGGUUUUAGGUCAAAUUUGAACCACAGGAUUCUAGAUCAAAUUAAAACCCUGUUCGGUUAUGCGGUAGCGUUUAUAUUUUAUGUGUUUUUAAUUUGCAAGUUGUUUAGUUAACAGCUAAUCACAGUUUUAACUGCUUGGGUCCUAUACAAAUUUGCAUUUCAAACACAGGAGUAGCAAAAGCAAUUUUGCCUUGCUUUUGGGGUUGCUGUGUAGAAAACGCUGCAAAUAAUAACUUCAUUACCCAAAAAAUUGAUUAGCCCUAUCUGUCUUCCUCUACUAGUAUCUUCUCCUUCAUUGUGGCUUCAAUCAUCUCUCCUCCUUCACUGAUUCACCUCCCAAACAAAGCUGCCAUUAUCUCUCCUCCUCCACAGCUUCCCUGUCUCAACCUUAAAUAGACCUCAAACGGUUUCCUACUUGUUGCUUUUCCUCUCAACGAUCUUCCCGUGCUCUCUUUACUAUGCUUCCCUUUAUCAUGCCAAGCUCACACUAACCUCAUGCACUCACCUUGACUGGCCGAUUCCCUGCUUGCACCUUUAUUCUUCAUGCUCCCGUAUAGACCGCAUCCAAUCACCAGUGUUUGUAGCAGAGUGUAGAUCAAGCCCAUCUACCACCGAUCUACUGCUUUUAUGAACUUCUUUCACAGUUGAAGAAGACAAGCACUCAUCAUGAACCAAAAAGUGCAUCGAAAUCAGUCUUCUGGAAUGCUCAAGCACAACACUUACCAAUCUCUAUUUCGGUUGCACAAGUAACAUCAAGUUUAGUUGCUGUAUGUUUUUUGAAGUGCAUGUUUUUAAUUUUAACCGUUGAUUUAUUAUCUCUGUUUUAGUUGAACAAUUAGCGUUAAUUUCA
This is an RNA transcript of Populus euphratica (Euphrates poplar), 2543 nucleotides long. It is a transcript of the gene named bidirectional sugar transporter SWEET2a-like, with no coding region annotated. The transcript has 8 exons. NCBI's taxonomy places the organism in Eukaryota, Viridiplantae, Streptophyta, Magnoliopsida, Malpighiales, Salicaceae. The record is from RefSeq and is a predicted model, not a curated record.